CUCCCCCUUCCGUGUCUAUUCCUCCUCCUUCCUCCUCUCAACUCCCUUGUCCUUUUUCCUCUCCUCUCUAGCCUUCUUUUUUCUCACUCCCUUUCUCCUCUCCCCCAUCCUUCUUUCUUUCCUCUCCCCCUACUCCUCUCUCCCCCUCCUCUCUUUCCCUUCCCUCUCUUCUUCCUCUAUCCUCCUCUCCUCUGGUUCCCCUCUCCUCCAUCCCUCCUUCCUCUUUCCCAUUCUCUCCACCCUCCUCCUUCCUCUCUCCCCCUCCUCCUUCCUGCUUCUCUUCUCCCCUCACCCUCCCUAUUAUUCCUUUCUCUUCCUACACCCUCCUCUCCUCUCUUCCGUCUCUUCUUCUUCCCUCUCUCCCUGUUUCAUCUCCUCCUCCCUUCUAAUCCUCCUUCCUCCUUUCUUUCUCCUUCUUUCUCCCCCUCAUUCCUCCCCUCUCCUCUUUCCCCUUCCUCUCCUCCCUUCCCUCCCCUUCUCAUCUUCUCUUUCCCUCCAUCCCUCUUCUUUCCUGUCUCCCCCUCUCCUCUCCAUUCUUCCUUUUUCCUGUCGCCCCCUCCUCUCCCCUUCUUUCUUCCUUCUUCCCUCCUCCCCUUCCGAAUUCCUCUUCUCUCCUCUUUCUCUCCCCCUCCUUCCUUCCUUCUCCCCUUCCUCCCUCCUCUUCUCAUCUCCUCCUUGUCUCUUCUCCUCCACUCCAUCCCUACUCCUUCUUCUCUCCCUCUCUCCCUCCCUCCUCCCCCUCCCCAUUCCUUCUCUCCUCUUUCCCCCUUCUCUCCCCCUCCUCUCCUCCCUUCUCUCUUCUUUCUCCCUCCUCUAUCCCCUUCUCAUCUCCUCCUUCUGUCUUUCCCCUCCUCUCUAUUCUCUCUCUCCUCCCUCCCCUUCUCCUUCCACUCCAUCCCUCCCCUUUCCUGUCUCCCCCUCUCCAUCCCUCCUCCUUCCUCCUCCUCAUUCCAUUUCUCUCCUCUUUUCCCCUCUUAUCUUACCCUCCUCUCCUCCCCCCUGCCUACUCAUCUCCUUCUCCUCUCUUUCCCCUCCCCUCCCUCCUCCCUCCUCCUUCUCCCCGGCCUCGGCUCUCCUCCCCCGCUCCUCCCUCCUCUCUCUCUCUCUCCCCACCCCUCCCCCCUCCCUCCUCUCUCCCCUCCUCUUCCCUCUGCCUCCUCCUCCCUCCCCUUCGGAAGGGGAGGAGCCGCGGCUGGGUCUCUGCCCAGAGCCGCCGCGGCGGGCAGGGGCAGCGGCAGCGGCUGCGUUUGCAGCCAGAGGAAGAGGAGGAGGAGGAGGAAGAGGAAGGCGCCCAGGACCCCGAGCGGCGGGGAGGCGGCGGCGGCGGCGCAGGAAGAGCUGGUUAACAAGAUGGCCCCUGCUGCCGGAGCGGCCUCGGCAGCAGCAGGUGGGAGCUGGGAGGCGGCGCUGGCGGCGGCGGGGGCCGUGGCCCGGCGGCCCGGGUCCGAGGCGGCGGCGGCGGCGGCGGCGGCAGCGGGGGCGGCGGCGGCGGGGACCGUGACGGCGGCGGCGGCCGCGGGGGCCCGGAGCUGA
This 1533-nucleotide long non-coding RNA is filed under the name Phascolarctos cinereus (koala). RNAcentral's name for it is "lncRNA (ENSPCIG00000001912.2)". Lineage: Eukaryota; Metazoa; Chordata; Mammalia; Diprotodontia; Phascolarctidae. The record is from RNAcentral.